This 229-nucleotide ribosomal RNA is filed under the name uncultured bacterium. Its description in RNAcentral is "partial 16S ribosomal RNA". It matches the Rfam family "Bacterial small subunit ribosomal RNA", at positions 568 to 796 of the family's 1533-position model. The record is from RNAcentral.
UGCGUAGGCGGGCUAAUAAGUCAGUGGUGAAAUCUCUCGGCUCAACCGGGAAACUGCCAUUGAUACUGUUAGUCUUGAGUUCGGUUGAGGUAGGCGGAAUGUGUAAUGUAGCGGUGAAAUGCUUAGAUAUUACACAGAACACCAAUUGCGUAGGCAGCUUACUAGACCGACACUGACGCUGAGGCACGAAAGCGUGAGGAGCGAACAGGAUUAGAUACCCUGGUAGUCC